AGCGAACGCUGGCGGCAGGCUUAACACAUGCAAGUCGAGCGGGCACCUUUGUGGUGUAAGCGGCAAACGGGUGAGUAACGCGUGGGAACUUGCCCUUCGUUUCGGAUUAACCCAGGGAAAUUGGACCUAAACCCGGUUAGUUGCGAGAGCAGAAAGGUUAAUCUCCCAAAGGUUCGGCCCGCGUCUGAUUAGCUAGUUGGUGGGGUUACGGCUCACAAAGGCGACGAUCAGUAGCUGGUCUGAGAGGAUGAUCAGCCACACUGGGACUGAGACACGGCCCAGACUCCUACGGGAGGCAGCAGUGGGGAAUAUUGGACAAUGGGGGCAACCCUGAUCCAGCCAUGCCGCGUGAGUGAUGACGGCCUUAGGGUUGUAAAGCUCUUUUCUCCGGGACGAUAAUGACGGUACCGGAGGAAUAAGCCCCGGCUAACUUCGUG
This 437-nucleotide ribosomal RNA is filed under the name uncultured bacterium. Its description in RNAcentral is "partial 16S ribosomal RNA". It matches the Rfam family "Bacterial small subunit ribosomal RNA", at positions 29 to 507 of the family's 1533-position model. The record is from RNAcentral.